Molecule: ribosomal RNA, 2150 nt
Filed under: Pectobacterium brasiliense
Lineage: Bacteria; Pseudomonadati; Pseudomonadota; Gammaproteobacteria; Enterobacterales; Pectobacteriaceae
Description: bacterial LSU rRNA
Rfam family: Bacterial large subunit ribosomal RNA
Source: RNAcentral
GGGUUGUGAGGUUAAGCGACUAAGCGUACACGGUGGAUGCCUAGGCAGUCAGAGGCGAUGAAGGGCGUGCUAAUCUGCGAUAAGCGUCGGUAAGCUGAUAUGAAGCGUUAUACCCGACGAUACCCGAAUGGGGAAACCCAGUGUGUUUCGACACACUAUCAUGACAUGAAUACAUAGUGUCAUGAGGCGAACCGGGGGAACUGAAACAUCUCAGUACCCCGAGGAAAAGAAAUCAACCGAGAUUCCCCCAGUAGCGGCGAGCGAACGGGGAGGAGCCCAGAACCUGAAUCAGUUUGUGUGUUAGUGGAAGCGUCUGGAAAGUCGCACAGUAAAGGGUGAUAGUCCCGUACACAAAAAUGCACAAGUUGUGAGUUCGAUGAGUAGGGCGGGACACGUGACAUCCUGUCUGAAUAUGGGGGGACCAUCCUCCAAGGCUAAAUACUCCUGACUGACCGAUAGUGAACCAGUACCGUGAGGGAAAGGCGAAAAGAACCCCGGCGAGGGGAGUGAAAUAGAACCUGAAACCGUGUACGUACAAGCAGUGGGAGCCUACUUGUUAGGUGACUGCGUACCUUUUGUAUAAUGGGUCAGCGACUUAUAUUCUGUAGCAAGGUUAACCGUAUAGGGGAGCCGCAGGGAAACCGAGUCUUAACUGGGCGUUAAGUUGCAGGGUAUAGACCCGAAACCCGGUGAUCUAGCCAUGGGCAGGUUGAAGGUUGGGUAACACUAACUGGAGGACCGAACCGACUAAUGUUGAAAAAUUAGCGGAUGACUUGUGGCUGGGGGUGAAAGGCCAAUCAAACCGGGAGAUAGCUGGUUCUCCCCGAAAGCUAUUUAGGUAGCGCCUCGUGAAUUCAUCUUCGGGGGUAGAGCACUGUUUCGGCUAGGGGGUCAUCCCGACUUACCAACCCGAUGCAAACUACGAAUACCGAAGAAUGUUAUCACGGGAGACACACGGCGGGUGCUAACGUUCGUCGUGAAGAGGGAAACAACCCAGACCGCCAGCUAAGGUCCCAAAGUCAUGGUUAAGUGGGAAACGAUGUGGGAAGGCAUAGACAGCCAGGAUGUUGGCUUAGAAGCAGCCAUCAUUUAAAGAAAGCGUAAUAGCUCACUGGUCGAGUCGGCCUGCGCGGAAGAUGUAACGGGGCUAAACCAUGCACCGAAGCUGCGGCAGCGACACGUAGUGUUGUUGGGUAGGGGAGCGUUCUGUAAGCCUGCGAAGGUGGCCUGUGAGGGCUGCUGGAGGUAUCAGAAGUGCGAAUGCUGACAUAAGUAACGAUAAUGCGGGUGAAAAACCCGCACGCCGGAAGACCAAGGGUUCCUGUCCAACGUUAAUCGGGGCAGGGUGAGUCGACCCCUAAGGCGAGGCUGAAAAGCGUAGUCGAUGGGAAACAGGUUAAUAUUCCUGUACUCGGUGUUACUGCGAAGGGGGGACGGAGAAAGCUAGGUUAUCCGGGCGACGGUUGUCCCGGUUUAAGCGUGAAGGUGGGUGACUUUGGUAAAUCCGGGUCAUCGUUAACACUGAGGCGUGAUGACGAGUCACUACGGUGAUGAAGUAACCGAUGCUACGCUUCCAGGAAAAGCCUCUAAGCUCCAGGUAACAUCAAAUCGUACCCCAAACCGACACAGGUGGUCAGGUAGAGAAUACUCAGGCGCUUGAGAGAACUCGGGUGAAGGAACUAGGCAAAAUGGUGCCGUAACUUCGGGAGAAGGCACGCUGAUGGUAGGUGAAGUGACUUGCUCAUGGAGCUGAAAUCAGUCGAAGAUACCAGCUGGCUGCAACUGUUUAAUAAAAACACAGCACUGUGCAAACACGAAAGUGGACGUAUACGGUGUGACGCCUGCCCGGUGCCGGAAGGUUAAUUGAUGGGGUCAGCCGCAAGGCGAAGCUCUUGAUCGAAGCCCCGGUAAACGGCGGCCGUAACUAUAACGGUCCUAAGGUAGCGAAAUUCCUUGUCGGGUAAGUUCCGACCUGCACGAAUGGCGUAAUGAUGGCCAGGCUGUCUCCACCCGAGACUCAGUGAAAUUGAACUCGCUGUGAAGAUGCAGUGUACCCGCGGCAAGACGGAAAGACCCCGUGAACCUUUACUAUAGCUUGACACUGAACCUUGAGCCUUGAUGUGUAGGAUAGGUGGGAGGCUUUGAAGCGU